This 472-nucleotide ribosomal RNA is filed under the name uncultured bacterium. Its description in RNAcentral is "bacterial SSU rRNA". It matches the Rfam family "Bacterial small subunit ribosomal RNA", at positions 24 to 507 of the family's 1533-position model. The record is from RNAcentral.
UCAGAACGAACGCUGGCGGCAGGCUUAACACAUGCAAGUUGAACGGGAUUUGAUUGUAGCUUGCUAUAAUUAAUGAGAGUAGCGCACUGGUGAGUAACACGUGGGAACAUACCUUGAAUGGGGGACAACAGUUGGAAACGACUGCUAAUACCGCAUAAUGUAUCGAGAGGGCANCCUUUUGAUACCAAAGGAGCAAUCCGCUGAAAGAUGGGCUCACGUCUGAUUAGUUAGUUGGUGAGGUAACGGCUCACCAAGACUGCGAUCAGUAGCCGGACUGAGAGGUUGAUCGGCCACAUUGGGACUGAGACACGGCCCAGACUCCUACGGGAGGCAGCAGUGGGGGAUAUUGCACAAUGGGGGAAACCCUGAUGCAGCAACGCCGCGUGAGGGAAGAAGGUUUUCGGAUUGUAAACCUCUGUCCUCUGUGAAGAUAAUGACGGUAGCAGAGGAGGAAGCUCCGGCUAACUACGUG